This 71-nucleotide transfer RNA is filed under the name Protoplasa fitchii. Its description in RNAcentral is "tRNA-Asn". Lineage: Eukaryota; Metazoa; Arthropoda; Insecta; Diptera; Tanyderidae. The record is from RNAcentral.
UUAAUUGAAGCCAAAAAGAGGCCUAUCACUGUUAAUGAUAAUACUGAAUUAUUUUUAAAAUUCCAAUUAAG